This 109-nucleotide transfer RNA is filed under the name Candidatus Woesearchaeota archaeon. RNAcentral describes it as "tRNA-Asp". The record is from RNAcentral. Lineage: Archaea; Nanobdellati; Candidatus Woesearchaeota.
GCCCUGGUAGUGUAGACCGGUCUAGCAUGAAGCCCUGUCGAGGCUUCGACCCGGGUUCAAAGGUGCAUCUUCCUCAAGAAGGAUAUGCUUGAAAAUCCCGGCCAGGGCG